Molecule: ribosomal RNA, 328 nt
Filed under: uncultured eukaryote
Lineage: Eukaryota
Description: partial 18S ribosomal RNA
Rfam family: Eukaryotic small subunit ribosomal RNA
Source: RNAcentral
CCCUUAGAUGUCCUGGGCCGCACGCGCGUUACACUGAUGCAUUCAACGAGCUUAUAACCUUGGCCGAGAGGCCCGGGCAAUCUUGUUAACGUGCAUCGUGAUAGGGAUAGAUUAUUGAAAUUAUUAAUCUUGAACGAGGAAUUCCUAGUAAACGCAGAUCAUCAAUCUGCAUUGAUUACGUCCCUGCCCUUUGUACACACCGCCCGUCGCACCUACCGAUUGGAUGGUCCGGUGAAGCCUCGGGAUUGUGGUUCUUGCCGCUUUAUUGUGGCGUGACCGCCAGAACUUGUCUAAACCUUAUCAUCUAGAGGAAGGUGAAGUCGUAACA